GCCGGGGUCUCCUAGAGCGCAAAACACGCGGGAAAUCAGGUAGGGAGCGGGCCUGGAGAGCCCGUGGCCCUUUGUGGGCCGCGUGGGUUCAAAUCCCACCCCCGGCGCCA
RNAcentral lists this transfer RNA (110 nucleotides) under Candidatus Bathyarchaeota archaeon. RNAcentral's name for it is "tRNA-Ser". It matches the Rfam family "tRNA". Rfam says of the family: Transfer RNA (tRNA) molecules are approximately 80 nucleotides in length. Their secondary structure includes four short double-helical elements and three loops (D, anti-codon, and T loops). Lineage: Archaea; Thermoproteati; Candidatus Bathyarchaeota. The record is from RNAcentral.